GCCAGUGUGGCCUAGUGGUUUGAGUGUUGGACUACAACACAAGAGUCAAGGGUUUGAUUCCCAGCUCAGCCA
Non-coding RNA from Phrynosoma platyrhinos (Desert horned lizard), 72 nucleotides. Lineage: Eukaryota; Metazoa; Chordata; Lepidosauria; Squamata; Phrynosomatidae. The record is from the annotation of a GenBank genome assembly.